CUUGCGAACCAAACAAGACUUUUAAGUUUAAGAUAGGGCCCCACGGCAGAAACUUGGUGACAUAUAUUUUUUUAAUGAAAAAGGUUGGGAGGUUCCGUCACCGACUGAGAGUUCUAGAGAAAGGAUUUUGCCUCUUCACCUGGGGGGAUUCGACGUCGGAAAGGUGUCCCGAAGGUAGGGUUUCGAGGGUUGCUAAUGUCGGUGAGUCCACUGAGGCUUCCACGAGUUCGUCAUCAAAAGAGAAGGGGGUGGCUUAUUCGCCCCCGCGUUCGGAGUCGGGGUGCCAGGAGAUCUGCGAUUGGAUUUCCGAUCGACAUGGGCCCAGGUGGUUCAAGGCCGGCAGCGUUUCCAGUGGGAGAUGCCUCAUCCCUCAGAGGUGGAUAUUUUAGCUCUUGAGACACGAUUUAACGAGUUUGUCAUGUUCUCUGAGGAGGAGAUUCAACGCAUGGAGAAGAAGUGGAAAGCGACGGUUGUGGGUAAGUUUUUGGGGCAGGGACUUCCUCUUGAUUUUGUCCAAAAAGAGAUGAAGAAUAGAUGGCAAAUCAAAGAGGAGUUCUAGGUAAAUCCUUUAUCUGAAGGUUAUAUGUUAUUUUGUCUACCAUCUGUGAAGAUUAGAGCAAGGAUUCUGAAGUCUUGUCCAUGGACAUUGGUGGGGCAGUUGUUGGUGGUGGAAUGUUGGAGGCCUAGUUUCAAACCGAACAUGGACCCUAUUAGUAAGAUAAAUAUAUGGCUUCAUUUGUUGGAUCUGCCGCUUGAGGUUUGGGGAAAGAAAAUGAUUUUGAAAAUUGCUUCCAAAGCUAGGAAGCUAAAAUUUUGAAUCCUUGGACUGUCAACUCUUCCUGGUUAGGCUUUGCGAGGAUGUGUGUUGAAUUGGAUUUGGCCCGCCUAAUUUGUCCUGAGACUAAGCUUCUUAUAAAGGAUUAGAUAAUAUGGUAAGAGUUUAUAUACGAGAAUCUACCUGCAAUUUGCUAUCACUGUGGGCACAUUGGAGUUACGCUAGAUACCUACUCUAAAUGCAAGGAUAAGGAUAUUCCUCAGGAAGGUAUGCUCUUUGGUCCAUGGAUUAGAGCAGCUCAGGUCCCAGUCCCUCAUUCAGAUCCUUCUAAGAAGCCAAGUUCUCCUUCUACAGGGGCGACCACUCUAUGUAAUUCUUGGCUUUCUCCUAAGAAAAUUAUGUCUAAAUAUUCAUCUAAGUCUGUUCCAGAGAAAGUGACCCCUGAGGCUACAGCGGAGAGCUCUAGAUUCACACCUUUGGCUGAGAUGGAGGAUGCUACUACAUCAGAGAAAGCUUCAAUGGAUGUGUUCAUAUUUAAAUCUUCAGACCCUACCUAUACUGAAGGUUCCUUCAUUAAAGAGAAACAAAAGAGGUCUCCUACUUAUUCUUCUACAUCUGCCAGAGCUGCAUCAUCGGUUUCUCCACCACAGACUAAGGUUAUAGUCCAUGAGGGAGAUAUGGGUAAAGAAUCUUCUUCUUGUGAUUCUAAAGCUUUGAUUUUAUAUCCUAAAGCUCUUGGAAAAAGGAAGGUUUGACGGCCGAUGAGAACCAACCCCAUUAGGUUCGAUGGGUCCUCACCAGUUGCUGCUUCUCUUGCUGGUACAUAAGGAUCCAAUGAGCCAGCGGCAAAGCCAGGCAUUAGAGAUCAUGGUCGGUUGGUCUAUCAAGUCUCGCAGGUGCUAAAAUCUCAUUUUAUUUCGGUUGAUGAUAAUCAAACUGAGAAGUCUAUGCGUGAUAUGCGAGUGGAGCCAAAUGGACAUUACCCAUCCUCUGCUACUAAUGAAAGUGCUAAUAUAGAACUGUUGAGGGGCUGCUAAGCCCUCGUAUCGUAUUACAUCCUGCAUCAAGCAAAUUUAUUGCAUGAAUACCUCCUCCCUUAGGGAUGCUCACUAUAAAUUUUGAUGGAGCUGUUACAUCAGGUCAAGCAGCAUAUGAUUUUAUUAUUCGUGAUCAUGAAGAUUCCAUGCUAGUUAUUAGUGGUAAGCUUCUUCCUUGUUCUACUGUUCCAUUUGCAAAGCUUAUUGGUGUUUGAUUAGGAAGUAUCUUGUAUGGCAUUACUGUACCCAAGCAAUUUGGAUUCAAGGAGAUUUCAUUGUAAUUUUUUGGAUUCAGAAGUUACAACAUAACCAGAUGGCUUUGUCCCUCAGGAUGAAAGAUAUUAAUUUAUGGCUUUCAACCUUUUCUUCAGUGAAAAUAUCUCAUACCUAUCGUAAAGGUAAUUAUGCGGCAGACUGGGCAGCUACACACGCCUUAUUGGGGGAUUUUUACUUUACCUCUACCGGGCUUUAUGAACACCCUGAGCUGAUCCACAUUUUAAGGGCUGAUGCCUAUUCGGUUGCAUUUUCCAGGCAUGGAAUUGCUACUUCUUGCAUGCUUGUCCUUACUGAUAAUCCAUUGGUUGCAUUUUCUAUGCUUUUUUGGUCUAUGGGUAUUUAUCAUGAGUUCAGUUCUCCUUUAUAUUGAUACCUGUGCCUGUGUUAUUCUUCUCUAUAUGUGUCAAAUGGAAUCACAAGCUGUAAUUAGCUUAACUUUACUAUUGUGUGCCAAGCUGCAAGUAGGGGAUAUUUCAUGUUUAGGUAUGUUCAAUGCUCUGUUACUGUGGUUCUAUAGGCGCUUGCAGCGCCUGUUGUUUGAGUUUCAGAUCCUUUAUAUUUUUUCAAUGCAAUACAUAGUGCCUUUUCGCAGUAAACAAGAUCUGUUAUGUUGGUCAUCUGGUUGCAUCCACCUAGUCAUGGUGCUGUUAACGUUUUCAUAUCCCAUUCAGGUUACAUGGUUGCUUGGUUAUAUGCAAUUUUUAAGAGAUCAAUGGAGCCUAUGUUUUCUGCUUAACAUUCUGUAUUUCCUCUGCUGUAAGUUAUGGUCUUCAACGAUUUUAAUAUUUUUGAUUCUGGUUCUGACUGUAGCAUGUAGAAUGAAACUAUGCUUGUGCCAGGAUGCUGCGAUAUAUGCUUCUUAUAUCUAUAUCAAAAUUAUACAGUUCCUGCAGCCACUUGUUGAGUUGUUUGGUACUUAUGGGGUUAAGUACUGCAGAUUGGCUAUGUUUUUUCACUGUGGUAUAUUACCUAGGUUUUUAGCUUUCACCAAUUGCCCUGCCCAGAGGUUAUGGAUUUCAUACUUCAGUUUUGCCUACAAGAUCGCUAUUAUGUGCCAUUUUUUCACUAUGAUGUUAAUCUGACUCUUGGUUUGGUUUUUUUAUUUAUUCUCUUGUAUAUGGAAUCUCUGUUGCUAGCUGCACCUGUCCUUAUUUUGGAAGAACUAUUUAGUACUGUCAUUUUGUAUACGUAAGCAGCACUACUGUUUACUUUGGGUUGUACAUAUGACUGCUAUUUAUCAGUAAAGUGUUUUUCUCCGUAUUCCAAAAAAAAAGAAAAAACACCCAGAUUUUAUUA
This is a non-coding RNA of Elaeis guineensis (African oil palm), 3384 nucleotides long. The record is from RefSeq and is a predicted model, not a curated record. Lineage: Eukaryota; Viridiplantae; Streptophyta; Magnoliopsida; Arecales; Arecaceae.